GGAAGAGUUCCCGAGCGGCCAAAGGGAGCAGACUGUAAAUCUGCCGUCAUCGACUUCGGUGGUUCGAAUCCACCCUCUUCCA
This 82-nucleotide transfer RNA is filed under the name Clostridium sp. CAG:413. It matches the Rfam family "tRNA". From Rfam's summary of the family: Transfer RNA (tRNA) molecules are approximately 80 nucleotides in length. Their secondary structure includes four short double-helical elements and three loops (D, anti-codon, and T loops). The record is from Rfam by way of RNAcentral. Lineage: Bacteria; Bacillati; Bacillota; Clostridia; Eubacteriales; Clostridiaceae.